Molecule: ribosomal RNA, 631 nt
Filed under: Bacillus subtilis
Lineage: Bacteria; Bacillati; Bacillota; Bacilli; Caryophanales; Bacillaceae
Description: bacterial SSU rRNA
Rfam family: Bacterial small subunit ribosomal RNA
Source: RNAcentral
CGAGCGGACAGAUGGGAGCUUGCUCCCUGAUGUUAGCGGCGGACGGGUGAGUAACACGUGGGUAACCUGCCUGUAAGACUGGGAUAACUCCGGGAAACCGGGGCUAAUACCGGAUGGUUGUUUGAACCGCAUGGUUCAAACAUAAAAGGUGGCUUCGGCUACCACUUACAGAUGGACCCGCGGCGCAUUAGCUAGUUGGUGAGGUAACGGCUCACCAAGGCAACGAUGCGUAGCCGACCUGAGAGGGUGAUCGGCCACACUGGGACUGAGACACGGCCCAGACUCCUACGGGAGGCAGCAGUAGGGAAUCUUCCGCAAUGGACGAAAGUCUGACGGAGCAACGCCGCGUGAGUGAUGAAGGUUUUCGGAUCGUAAAGCUCUGUUGUUAGGGAAGAACAAGUACCGUUCGAAUAGGGCGGUACCUUGACGGUACCUAACCAGAAAGCCACGGCUAACUACGUGCCAGCAGCCGCGGUAAUACGUAGGUGGCAAGCGUUGUCCGGAAUUAUUGGGCGUAAAGGGCUCGCAGGCGGUUUCUUAAGUCUGAUGUGAAAGCCCCCGGCUCAACCGGGGAGGGUCAUUGGAAACUGGGGAACUUGAGUGCAGAAGAGGAGAGUGGAAUUCAACGUGU